UACGGAGGGGGCUAGCGUUGUUCGGAAUUACUGGGCGUAAAGCGCACGUAGGCGGCUUUGUAAGUUAGAGGUGAAAGCCCAGGGCUCAACCCCGGAAUUGCCUUUAAGACUGCAUCGCUUGAACAUCGGAGAGGUAAGUGGAAUUCCGAGUGUAGAGGUGAAAUUCGUAGAUAUUCGGAAGAACACCAGUGGCGAAGGCGACUUACUGGACGAUUGUUGACGCUGAGGUGCGAAAGCGUGGGGAGCAAACAGG
Molecule: ribosomal RNA, 253 nt
Filed under: uncultured bacterium
Lineage: Bacteria
Description: partial 16S ribosomal RNA
Rfam family: Bacterial small subunit ribosomal RNA
Source: RNAcentral